Molecule: long non-coding RNA, 316 nt
Organism: Peromyscus eremicus (cactus mouse)
Lineage: Eukaryota; Metazoa; Chordata; Mammalia; Rodentia; Cricetidae
Exons: 2
Source: RefSeq, a predicted model, not a curated record
CUUCACAAGCUCCUACUUGGUCAUCACGUUGUAGGAAGAGACUCCCACCCUCUGUACUCUGGACUGACAUAUCUUCAGUGUUUCCUAAUGCCUGGCAGACAGAGUUCUAAGAGAGGCACAAGAGGAUCAGGCCAAACCUAUCAGCCCUGUUCAGAUGGAAAUGGAGAGAAGCAGUUGGCAGCUCUUAUUGCCCCACCGUCUGAGCAGAGCCUAAGGCAGGCCAGCAUCUCCAGGUCCUAAUGAGAAGGAAGUCCCACUGUCCCCAAUGUUAACAAUACCAUCAACACUCCCUGGGGAAAUAAACCUUUAUUUCCAA